UGCCAGCAGCCGCGGUAAUACGGAGGGUGCGAGCGUUAAUCGGAAUUACUGGGCGUAAAGGGCGCGUAGGCGGUCGCGCAAGUCGGGUGUGAAAGCCCCGGGCUCAACCUGGGAAUUGCAUUCGAUACUGCGUAACUAGAGUCUGGUAGAGGGAAGCGGAAUUCCGCAUGUAGCGGUGAAAUGCGUAGAUAUGCGGAGGAACACCAGUGGCGAAGGCGGCUUCCUGGACCAAGACUGACGCUGAGGCGCGAAAGCGUGGGGAGCAAACAGGAUUAGAUACCCUGGUAGUCCACGCCCUAAACGAUGAGGACUAGACGUUGGGGGGAUAAAACCCUUUAGUGUCGCAGCUAACGCGUGAAGUCCUCCGCCUGGGGAGUACGGCCGCAAGGUUGAAACUCAAAUGAAUUGACGG
Molecule: ribosomal RNA, 412 nt
Filed under: uncultured bacterium
Lineage: Bacteria
Description: bacterial SSU rRNA
Rfam family: Bacterial small subunit ribosomal RNA
Source: RNAcentral